AAUCCUGUUCGCUACCCACGCUUUCGCACCUCAGUGUCAGUACAGAUCCAGGAGGCCGCCUUCGCCACUGGUAUUCUUCAUAAUAUCUACGCAUUCCACCGCUACACUAUGAAUUCUACCUCCCUCUAUCGUACUCUAGUGAGUUAGUUUUGGAUGCAGUUCCUAGGUUGAGCCCAGGGCUUUCACAUCCAACUUAACAAACCACCUACGCGCGCUUUACGCCCAGUAAUUCCGAUUAACGCUUGCACCUUCCGUAUUACCGCGGCUGCUGGCACGGAAUUAGCCGGUGCUUACUCUGCAGGUAACAUCAAGGUUAUAAGGUAUUAGCUUAUAACUUUUUCUCCCUGCUUAAAGUGCUUUACAACCCGAAGGCCUUCUUCACACACGCGGUAUGGCUGGAUCAGGCUUGCGCCCAUUGUCCAAUAUUCCCCACUGCUGCCUCCCGUAGGAGUCUGGGCCGUGUCUCAGUCCCAAUGUGGCUGAUCGUCCUCUCAGACCAGCUAAAGAUCGUUGCCUUGGUGAGCCUUUACCUCACCAACAAGCUAAUCUUACGCAGGCUCAUCUAGUAGCGAAAGCUUCAAAGAGAGGCCUUCUUUCUCCCGAAGGAGGUAUACGGUAUUAAUCCGAGUUUCCUCGGGCUAUCCCCUUCUACUAGGUAGAUUCCUACGCGUUACUCACCCGUCCGCCGCUCUACUCAUAUCCGAAGAUACUUUCUCGCACGACUUGCAUGUGUUAAGCCUACCGCCAGCGUUCAAUCUGAGCCAGGAUCAAACUCU
RNAcentral lists this ribosomal RNA (776 nucleotides) under uncultured bacterium. RNAcentral's name for it is "partial 16S ribosomal RNA". The record is from RNAcentral.